This 64-nucleotide transfer RNA is filed under the name bovine gut metagenome. It matches the Rfam family "tRNA", at positions 5 to 66 of the family's 71-position model. From Rfam's summary of the family: Transfer RNA (tRNA) molecules are approximately 80 nucleotides in length. Their secondary structure includes four short double-helical elements and three loops (D, anti-codon, and T loops). The record is from RNAcentral.
CUGUGGUUCAAUGGCAGAACGCCGGACUGUCGAUCCGGGGACAUGGGUUCGAUUCCCGUCAGAG